UGGGGAAUAUUGCGCAAUGGGGGGAACCCUGACGCAGCCAUGCCGCGUGAAUGAAGAAGGCCUUCGGGUUGUAAAGUUCUUUCGGUAUUGAGGAAGGUUGAUGUGUUAAUAGCACAUCAAAUUGACGUUAAAUACAGAAGAAGCACCGGCUAACUCCGUGCCAGCAGCCGCGGUAAUACGGAGGGUGCGAGCGUUAAUCGGAAUAACUGGGCGUAAAGGGCACGCAGGCGGUUAUUUAAGUGAGGCGUGAAAGCCCUGGGCUUAACCUAGGAAUUGCAUUUCAGACUGGGUAACUAGAGUACUUUAGGGAGGGGUAGAAUUCCACGUGUAGCGGUGAAAUGCGUAGAGAUGUGGAGGAAUACCGAAGGCGAAGGCAGCCCCUUGGGAAUGUACUGACGCUCAUGUGCGAAAGCGUGGGGAGCAAACAGGAUUAGAUACCCUGGUAGUCCACGCUGUAAACGCUGUCGAUUUGGGGAUUGGGCUUAGAGCUUGGUGCCCGUAGCUAACGUGAUAAAUCGACCGCCUGGGGAGUACGGCCGCAAGGUUA
Molecule: ribosomal RNA, 547 nt
Filed under: uncultured bacterium
Lineage: Bacteria
Description: bacterial SSU rRNA
Rfam family: Bacterial small subunit ribosomal RNA
Source: RNAcentral